This 472-nucleotide ribosomal RNA is filed under the name uncultured Glomus. RNAcentral describes it as "SSU rRNA". It matches the Rfam family "Eukaryotic small subunit ribosomal RNA", at positions 569 to 1048 of the family's 1831-position model. The record is from RNAcentral. Lineage: Eukaryota; Fungi; Glomeromycota; Glomeromycetes; Glomerales; Glomeraceae.
AGCAGCCGCGGUAAUUCCAGCUCCAAUAGCGUAUAUUAAAGUUGUUGCAGUUAAAAAGCUCGUAGUUGAAUUUCGGGAUCAAUAUGUUGGUCGUGCCUCGGUACGUACUAGCUUAUUGGUUUCUCCUUUCUGAAGAACCAUGAUGUCAUUUAUUUGGUGUCGUGGGGAAUCAGGACUGUUACUUUGAAAAAUUAGAGUGUUUAAAGCAGGCUCACGCUUGAAUACAUUAGCAUGGAAUAAUGAAAUAGGACGUUUGAUUCUAUUUUGUUGGUUUCUAGGAUCGACGUAAUGAUUAAUAGGGAUAGUUGGGGGCAUUAGUAUUCAAUUGUCAGAGGUGAAAUUCUUGGAUUUAUUGAAGACUAACUACUGCGAAAGCAUUUGCCAAGGAUGUUUUCAUUAAUCAAGAACGAAAGUUAGGGGAUCGAAGACGAUCAGAUACCGUCGUAGUCUUAACCAUAAACUAUGCCGACUA